AACGAACGCUGGCGGCAUGCCUAACACAUGCAAGUCGAACGAGACCUUCGGGUCUAGUGGCGCACGGGUGCGUAACGCGUGGGAACAUGCCCUUAGGUUCGGAAUAACUCCCCGAAAGGGGUGCUAAUACCGGAUAAGAUCUUCGGACCAAAGAUUUAUCGCCUUUGGAUGGGCCCGCGUUGGAUUAGCUAGUUGGUAGGGUAAAAGCCUACCAAGGCGCCGAUCCAUAGCUGGUCUGAGAGGAUGAUCCGCCACACUGGGACUGAGACACGGCCCAGACUCCUACGGGAGGCAGCAGUGGGGAAUAUUGGACAAUGGGCGAAAGCCUGAUCCAGCAAUGCCGCGUGAGUGAUGAAGGCCUUAGGGUUGUAAAGCUCUUUUACCCGGGAUGAUAAUGACAGUACCGGGAGAAUAAGCUCCGGCUAACUCCGUG
Molecule: ribosomal RNA, 433 nt
Filed under: uncultured bacterium
Lineage: Bacteria
Description: partial 16S ribosomal RNA
Rfam family: Bacterial small subunit ribosomal RNA
Source: RNAcentral